GUUGUUGUACUCAAGUGGUUAAGAGGUUAGUCUGCAAAACUAAUAUCGUGAGUUCGAAUCUCACCAACAACU
The sequence is a transfer RNA, 72 nucleotides long. It matches the Rfam family "tRNA". From Rfam's summary of the family: Transfer RNA (tRNA) molecules are approximately 80 nucleotides in length. Their secondary structure includes four short double-helical elements and three loops (D, anti-codon, and T loops). The record is from Rfam.